GAAUAAUCAUCUGUUUCCGAACACCCCUAUACUGCCGGACUUCGAGAGGUGAUCUCAGAAGGUACUUCAGACUCUCCACCUGCUAGCAGAAUUUCCAGUUUGAUUUUAUGUGAAAUCAAGGCGUGAUGGAUAGUUCGGGCUGAUCCCAGCAGAGGAGGAAGGAGCCGUUGCAAAGGUAUAU
Molecule: long non-coding RNA, 181 nt
Organism: Macrobrachium nipponense
Lineage: Eukaryota; Metazoa; Arthropoda; Malacostraca; Decapoda; Palaemonidae
Exons: 3
Source: RefSeq, a predicted model, not a curated record